Molecule: long non-coding RNA, 1463 nt
Filed under: Durio zibethinus
Lineage: Eukaryota; Viridiplantae; Streptophyta; Magnoliopsida; Malvales; Malvaceae
Description: long non-coding RNA (DZIB_LNC001093)
Source: RNAcentral
UUAAAUCUCUCUUAAUUUAUUUUUUGGGCAAAUUAGACCCAAACAUAAUAAAUGUCGCAUAAUUCUUAUUUCAUAAAAAAUAAAUAAAAAUAAACAACUAUAAAUACUUUCUUUUAUUUGAAAUCUUUUAAAAUAUUUGAAUCUCCAAAUUACUUUUAAAUUUUUAUUCAUUGAAAUAUGAGUUUUUAAAUUUCUUUUUGGGCCUUAGUUGUCCAAUUAAGUCUUGAUUGAUUUGCGUUAUAAGUCCAAUGAUAAUUUGAUUUUGAUAUUGAAUUUUCACAUUCUAUCUUUAUUUUUAUAUUUAUUUUUUUCAUUUGGAAAUCAGAAAAAUAUAAAAUUAAAAAAAAUGGCAAGAAUUAAAUUUUAUGGAGAAAAAUUCGAACUGGGUUCGGAUAGAGUUAUGCGAUUAUUUUGAGAUUGAAGCAAUGAUUAACGUAACUAAAAUUCUAAUUGAUUUGGAGUUCUAUUGCAAUUGGAUGAAUGCCCUAUAAAGAAUCAUAAAGAAGAAGGGGCAACAAUCAGCACAAAGAUAGACGAAUAAUCGAGAGUGAUUCAAACGAGACAAUUGAAAAAACAGGGAAUUGAACGAAAAUUCAGAACAAGAAAAUAUGAAAACAAAAAAAUCUACUCUACCGUCCCCAAUUCCUCAUCAGCCUAACCAAACCAAACCCCAUUGCCACAGCCCAUAGCAAUUCCCAACAGAAGUAACCACACAGCAAAGAUAAUCAAGAUACAUUCCCAGCAAUUCAGAGCCAUGCAAUUAACAAACCCAGAAUUACCCAUACCCAGCAAGCAUAAAUUCAAACCUAGAAACACCAACCGGAGUCUAGCAAUAAACUAUAGACAUCCCCCAAAAAAAAAUCGUGAAUGAUCUUUUAGGGUUUUGAUCCAUUAGGAGUUUUGGGUCAAGGGUUUUUUGGUGUUUUGAAUAGAACCGGAGUUGGGAGUUGGUAGAGAAUGCCAACAGCAAAAGGUAGAAUCGGCGACUGAAGAUUUCGAUUUUUUUUUGUCAUCGUUUUAAACCUUGGUUAUAGGAUGGAGUAAUAGAGAAAGACAAAAGAGCGACGGCGAUUUCAGGGCAGCCUCAAUGGUAGAAAAAGGUGAAACUCGCAAAGUAGUGAUUUAGAUCUAGGAUAUUAGGAACAGUCUUAGGGAAAGCCAAUUGAAUAAAGGUAUUUAGCACGUGAAGAGGAAGAUUGUGGAGGCUUUUGGGUGGAAACUGGCGAGCCAAGCGGUGGCCAGUGGUUGCGCACGGUGGGGCUGCGGUCGAGACGGUCGGUUUCUGGGUUUUCAUCGUCGUUGUUAUUGGGAGGUUUGAACGAAGAGAGACGCGAGUUCUAGAAAAAUAAGAAUGUGAGAAAUGUUAAAAGAGGAUUCUUUUUUGGAAUUUAUGGUGCCUUCAAAACUCAGCGUUUUGGACAAAAGAAGACAGACUGGAUCGGCUUAACCCAUGCCUGAACCCG